UACGUAGGGGGCAAGCGUUGUCCGGAUUUAUUGGGCGUAAAGAGCGUGUAGGCGGUUUGGUAGGUCCGCUGUGAAAACUCGAGGCUCAACCUCGAGACGCCGGUGGAAACCAUCAGGCUAGAGUCCUGAAGAGGAGAGUGGAAUUCCUGGUGUAGCGGUGAAAUGCGCAGAUAUCAGGAGGAACACCGGUGGCGAAGGCGGGACUCUGGGCCGAUACUGACGCUGAGGAGCGAAAGCGUGGGGAGCAAACAGG
RNAcentral lists this ribosomal RNA (253 nucleotides) under uncultured bacterium. RNAcentral describes it as "partial 16S ribosomal RNA". It matches the Rfam family "Bacterial small subunit ribosomal RNA", at positions 524 to 776 of the family's 1533-position model. The record is from RNAcentral.